GACGAACGCUGGCGGCGUGCUUAACACAUGCAAGUCGAACGGAAAGGCCCUGCUUUUGUGGGGUGCUCGAGUGGCGAACGGGUGAGUAACACGUGAGUAACCUGCCCUUGACUUUGGGAUAACUUCAGGAAACUGGGGCUAAUACCGGAUAGGAGCUCCUGCUGCAUGGUGGGGGUUGGAAGGUUUAGGCGGUUGGGGAUGGACUCGCGGCUUAUCAGCUUGUUGGUGGGGUAGUGGAUUACCAAGGCUUCGACGGGUAGCCGGCCUGAGAGGGUGACCGGCCACAUUGGGACUGAGAUAAGGCCCAGACUCCUACGGGAGGCAGCAGUGGGGAAUAUUGCACAAUGGGCGGAAGCCUGAUGCAGCAACGCCGCGUGCGGGAUGACGGCAUUCGGGUUGUAAACCGCUUUCGCCUGUGACGAAGCGUGAGUGACGGUAAUGGGUAAAGAAGCACCGGCUAACUACGUG
RNAcentral lists this ribosomal RNA (468 nucleotides) under uncultured bacterium. RNAcentral's name for it is "partial 16S ribosomal RNA". It matches the Rfam family "Bacterial small subunit ribosomal RNA", at positions 28 to 507 of the family's 1533-position model. The record is from RNAcentral.